UACGAAGGGGGCUAGCGUUGUUCGGAAUUACUGGGCGUAAAGCGCACGUAGGCGGCGAUUUAAGUCAGAGGUGAAAGCCUGGAGCUCAACUCCAGAACUGCCUUUGAGACUGGAUUGCUAGAAUCUUGGAGAGGCGGGUGGAAUUCCGAGUGUAGAGGUGAAAUUCGUAGAUAUUCGGAAGAACACCAGUGGCGAAGGCGGCCCGCUGGACAAGUAUUGACGCUGAGGUGCGAAAGCGUGGGGAGCAAACAGG
RNAcentral lists this ribosomal RNA (253 nucleotides) under uncultured bacterium. RNAcentral describes it as "partial 16S ribosomal RNA". It matches the Rfam family "Bacterial small subunit ribosomal RNA", at positions 524 to 776 of the family's 1533-position model. The record is from RNAcentral.